RNAcentral lists this ribosomal RNA (206 nucleotides) under uncultured bacterium. Its description in RNAcentral is "partial 16S ribosomal RNA". It matches the Rfam family "Bacterial small subunit ribosomal RNA", at positions 568 to 774 of the family's 1533-position model. The record is from RNAcentral.
UUCGUAGGUGGUUUAGUAAGUUUGUAGUUAAAGCUGGUCGCUCAACGAUCAAUCUGUUACAAAACUGUUAAACUAGAGAAUGGCAGAGGCAACUGGAAUUCUGCAUGUAGGGGUAAAAUCCGUUGAUAUGCAGAGGAACACCAAAAGCGAAGGCAGGUUGCUGGGCCAUUUCUGACGCUGAGGAACGAAAGCGUGGGGAGCAAACA